CUGGCGUGUAGAUUUGCGAUAGUAGUAAACAAUUUGUUUUCGAUUGUGUAGGUGCAGAAAAGAAGAGUGAAACAAUUGCUAUAGCAGAGGGUGUCAGUGCAGAUUUUAAUUCAGAAGUGGAUGAUUUGGGUACUGAGAAAGCUGCCUUUGUCCAGGAACGAGAAUCUGAUAUGACCUUAAGAUAUUAUAGCCUAAACGAAAAAGACGAAGAGCCGUGGCCGGUCAUCAAAAACUGCUACUAUUUCUUGUAUAAAAGGCUUCGCUUUAGUCACGAGUUUGUCGGCCACUUGUUUCAGCAAAAGUUGAUCGAUAAAACAGACCAUGAAUUCUUUCUCGGCUCUAAUUCUAUCGAAGAGAAAGUACAUCAUUUACUCGUUACGGUGCUUCCCACCAAACCGCCAGAGAAGUUGGCCGACCUUUGCAAAAUCUUUUCAAUUAUGGGACAAGGACAUGUUGUCGAAAGACUAAAAAUGUGUUCUUCAGAAGGAGAGCUGUGCCCACAAGGAAUGGAGGAUACUUGCGAAAGCCAAUCUCAGG
Molecule: long non-coding RNA, 537 nt
Organism: Corticium candelabrum
Lineage: Eukaryota; Metazoa; Porifera; Homoscleromorpha; Homosclerophorida; Plakinidae
Exons: 3
Source: RefSeq, a predicted model, not a curated record